AGGGAAUCUUCGGCAAUGGGGGCAACCCUGACCGAGCAACGCCGCGUGAGUGAAGAAGGUUUUCGGAUCGUAAAGCUCUGUUGUAAGAGAAGAACGUGUGUGAGAGUGGAAAGUUCACACAGUGACGGUAACUUACCAGAAAGGGACGGCUAACUACGUGCCAGCAGCCGCGGUAAUACGUAGGUCCCGAGCGUUGUCCGGAUUUAUUGGGCGUAAAGCGAGCGCAGGCGGUUUAAUAAGUCUGAAGUUAAAGGCAGUGGCUUAACCAUUGUUUGCUUUGGAAACUGUUAGACUUGAGUGCAGAAGGGGAGAGUGGAAUUCCAUGUGUAGCGGUGAAAUGCGUAGAUAUAUGGAGGAACACCGGUGGCGAAAGCGGCUCUCUGGUCUGUAACUGACGCUGAGGCUCGAAAGCGUGGGGAGCAAAC
This 425-nucleotide ribosomal RNA is filed under the name uncultured bacterium. RNAcentral describes it as "bacterial SSU rRNA". It matches the Rfam family "Bacterial small subunit ribosomal RNA", at positions 356 to 773 of the family's 1533-position model. The record is from RNAcentral.